Molecule: ribosomal RNA, 2701 nt
Filed under: Escherichia coli
Lineage: Bacteria; Pseudomonadati; Pseudomonadota; Gammaproteobacteria; Enterobacterales; Enterobacteriaceae
Also listed under: 1 other name
Description: partial 23S ribosomal RNA
Rfam family: Bacterial large subunit ribosomal RNA
Source: RNAcentral
AGUACCCCGAGGAAAAGAAAUCAACCGAGAUUCCCCCAGUAGCGGCGAGCGAACGGGGAGCAGCCCAGAGCCUGAAUCAGUGUGUGUGUUAGUGGAAGCGUCUGGAAAGGCGUGCGAUACAGGGUGACAGCCCCGUACACAAAAAUGCACAUACUGUGAGCUCGAUGAGUAGGGCGGGACACGUGGUAUCCUGUCUGAAUAUGGGGGGACCAUCCUCCAAGGCUAAAUACUCCUGACUGACCGAUAGUGAACCAGUACCGUGAGGGAAAGGCGAAAAGAACCCCGGCGAGGGGAGUGAAAAAGAACCUGAAACCGUGUACGUACAAGCAGUGGGAGCACGCUUAGGCGUGUGACUGCGUACCUUUUGUAUAAUGGGUCAGCGACUUAUAUUCUGUAGCAAGGUUAACCGAAUAGGGGAGCCGAAGGGAAACCGAGUCUUAACUGGGCGUUAAGUUGCAGGGUAUAGACCCGAAACCCGGUGAUCUAGCCAUGGGCAGGUUGAAGGUUGGGUAACACUAACUGGAGGACCGAACCGACUAAUGUUGAAAAAUUAGCGGAUGACUUGUGGCUGGGGGUGAAAGGCCAAUCAAACCGGGAGAUAGCUGGUUCUCCCCGAAAGCUAUUUAGGUAGCGCCUCGUGAAUUCAUCUCCGGGGGUAGAGCACUGUUUCGGCAAGGGGGUCAUCCCGACUUACCAACCCGAUGCAAACUGCGAAUACCGGAGAAUGUUAUCACGGGAGACACACGGCGGGUGCUAACGUCCGUCGUGAAGAGGGAAACAACCCAGACCGCCAGCUAAGGUCCCAAAGUCAUGGUUAAGUGGGAAACGAUGUGGGAAGGCCCAGACAGCCAGGAUGUUGGCUUAGAAGCAGCCAUCAUUUAAAGAAAGCGUAAUAGCUCACUGGUCGAGUCGGCCUGCGCGGAAGAUGUAACGGGGCUAAACCAUGCACCGAAGCUGCGGCAGCGACGCUUAUGCGUUGUUGGGUAGGGGAGCGUUCUGUAAGCCUGUGAAGGUGUGCUGUGAGGUAUGCUGGAGGUAUCAGAAGUGCGAAUGCUGACAUAAGUAACGAUAAAGCGGGUGAAAAGCCCGCUCGCCGGAAGACCAAGGGUUCCUGUCCAACGUUAAUCGGGGCAGGGUGAGUCGACCCCUAAGGCGAGGCCGAAAGGCGUAGUCGAUGGGAAACAGGUUAAUAUUCCUGUACUUGGUGUUACUGCGAAGGGGGGACGGAGAAGGCUAUGUUGGCCGGGCGACGGUUGUCCCGGUUUAAGCGUGUAGGCUGGUUUUCCAGGCAAAUCCGGAAAAUCAAGGCCGAGGCGUGAUGACGAGGCACUACGGUGCUGAAGCAACAAAUGCCCUGCUUCCAGGAAAAGCCUCUAAGCAUCAGGUAACAUCAAAUCGUACCCCAAACCGACACAGGUGGUCAGGUAGAGAAUACCAAGGCGCUUGAGAGAACUCGGGUGAAGGAACUAGGCAAAAUGGUGCCGUAACUUCGGGAGAAGGCACGCUGAUACGUAGGUGAAGCGACUUGCUCGUGGAGCUGAAAUCAGUCGAAGAUACCAGCUGGCUGCAACUGUUUAUUAAAAACACAGCACUGUGCAAACACGAAAGUGGACGUAUACGGUGUGACGCCUGCCCGGUGCCGGAAGGUUAAUUGAUGGGGUUAGCGCAAGCGAAGCUCUUGAUCGAAGCCCCGGUAAACGGCGGCCGUAACUAUAACGGUCCUAAGGUAGCGAAAUUCCUUGUCGGGUAAGUUCCGACCUGCACGAAUGGCGUAAUGAUGGCCAGGCUGUCUCCACCCGAGACUCAGUGAAAUUGAACUCGCUGUGAAGAUGCAGUGUACCCGCGGCAAGACGGAAAGACCCCGUGAACCUUUACUAUAGCUUGACACUGAACAUUGAGCCUUGAUGUGUAGGAUAGGUGGGAGGCUUUGAAGUGUGGACGCCAGUCUGCAUGGAGCCGACCUUGAAAUACCACCCUUUAAUGUUUGAUGUUCUAACGUGGACCCGUGAUCCGGGUUGCGGACAGUGUCUGGUGGGUAGUUUGACUGGGGCGGUCUCCUCCUAAAGAGUAACGGAGGAGCACGAAGGUUGGCUAAUCCUGGUCGGACAUCAGGAGGUUAGUGCAAUGGCAUAAGCCAGCUUGACUGCGAGCGUGACGGCGCGAGCAGGUGCGAAAGCAGGUCAUAGUGAUCCGGUGGUUCUGAAUGGAAGGGCCAUCGCUCAACGGAUAAAAGGUACUCCGGGGAUAACAGGCUGAUACCGCCCAAGAGUUCAUAUCGACGGCGGUGUUUGGCACCUCGAUGUCGGCUCAUCACAUCCUGGGGCUGAAGUAGGUCCCAAGGGUAUGGCUGUUCGCCAUUUAAAGUGGUACGCGAGCUGGGUUUAGAACGUCGUGAGACAGUUCGGUCCCUAUCUGCCGUGGGCGCUGGAGAACUGAGGGGGGCUGCUCCUAGUACGAGAGGACCGGAGUGGACGCAUCACUGGUGUUCGGGUUGUCAUGCCAAUGGCACUGCCCGGUAGCUAAAUGCGGAAGAGAUAAGUGCUGAAAGCAUCUAAGCACGAAACUUGCCCCGAGAUGAGUUCUCCCUGACCCUUUAAGGGUCCUGAAGGAACGUUGAAGACGACGACGUUGAUAGGCCGGGUGUGUAAGCGCAGCGAUGCGUUGAGCUAACCGGUACUAAUGAACCGUGAGGCUUAACCUU